Long non-coding RNA from Lampris incognitus (smalleye Pacific opah), 187 nucleotides. RefSeq lists it as uncharacterized. The record is from RefSeq and is a predicted model, not a curated record. The transcript has 3 exons. Lineage: Eukaryota; Metazoa; Chordata; Actinopteri; Lampriformes; Lampridae.
CACACAGAAAGCGGACUUUGAAAACAGCAAAACACAAAGAGCGGAAAGGAAGUCAAAUACGGACCGAAAUAGUCAGCACCAAAUGGGAAACUCAUUUCAGCAGUCCACAUCCGCAUGGAUGGGGUAGCCGCUGGCGCCGAUGAUGUCACACCUGGCCCCACCCCCCAACAGGGCAUUGACCACCUCG